GUUCCGAUAGCUCAAGUGGUAGAGUAGCCGCGUAUGAAGCCGAAGGUCGUGGGUUCGAAUCCCGCUCGGAACA
Cimex lectularius (bed bug) is the source of this 73-nucleotide non-coding RNA. Lineage: Eukaryota; Metazoa; Arthropoda; Insecta; Hemiptera; Cimicidae. The record is from the annotation of a RefSeq genome assembly.